Molecule: ribosomal RNA, 511 nt
Filed under: Enterococcus pseudoavium
Lineage: Bacteria; Bacillati; Bacillota; Bacilli; Lactobacillales; Enterococcaceae
Description: partial 23S ribosomal RNA
Rfam family: Bacterial large subunit ribosomal RNA
Source: RNAcentral
CCCGUUGUUUUUGUUUGAGCAAUGGAGGGACGCAGGAGGCUAAGGAAUCAGACGAUUGGAAAUGUCUGUCCAAGCAACAAGUCUUGAUGUGAGUCAAAUGCUUACGUCUAUAAGGACAAGUUGUGAUGGGGAGGGAAAUAAUAGUACCGAAGUUCCCGAUGUCACACUGCCGAGAAAAGCUUCUAGUGAGAAAAUAAUGGCCCGUACCGCAAACCGACACAGGUAGUCGAGGAGAGAAUCCUAAGGUGAGCGAGAGAACUCUCGUUAAGGAACUCGGCAAAAUGACCCCGUAACUUCGGGAGAAGGGGUGCUGAUCUAACGAUCAGCCGCAGUGAAUAGGCCCAAGCGACUGUUUAUCAAAAACACAGGUCUCUGCAAAAUCGAAAGAUGACGUAUAGGGGCUGACGCCUGCCCGGUGCUGGAAGGUUAAGAGGAGUGCUUAGCGUAAGCGAAGGUACGAAUUGAAGCCCCAGUAAACGGCGGCCGUAACUAUAACGGUCCUAAGGUAGCG